Long non-coding RNA from Molossus molossus (Pallas's mastiff bat), 244 nucleotides. RefSeq lists it as uncharacterized. The record is from RefSeq and is a predicted model, not a curated record. Lineage: Eukaryota; Metazoa; Chordata; Mammalia; Chiroptera; Molossidae. The transcript has 3 exons.
ACCUCCUCCAAUCUACUGAAGACCCGAGGAAGACAAAAAUCUGACCUUUUUGCCUUCAGAUGUGAACUGGAAUAUACCAUCAGCUCUGCUGUGUUUCCAGCUUGUUAACUAAAAAUCUUGGGACUUGUCAGCCUCCACAAUCAUAUAUGUGAUUGAUUUGAACCUGGAUAACCUGCUCCAAGGCAUCUCCACCUGGAACAUGUUGACUGAGAAGAGGAGGAGGUCUCCCAGAGAAAGACUGGGC